UACGGAGGAUGCGAGCGUUAUCCGGAUUUAUUGGGUUUAAAGGGUGCGUAGGCGGAUUUUUAAGUCAGCGGUAAAAUGUCCGGGCUCAACCCGGGCCGGCCGUUGAAACUGGGGAUCUUGAGUGGGCGAGAAGUAUGCGGAAUGCGUGGUGUAGCGGUGAAAUGCAUAGAUAUCACGCAGAACUCCGAUUGCGAAGGCAGCAUACCGGCGCCCGACUGACGUUGAGGCACGAAAGCGUGGGGAUCGAACAGG
Molecule: ribosomal RNA, 252 nt
Filed under: uncultured bacterium
Lineage: Bacteria
Description: partial 16S ribosomal RNA
Rfam family: Bacterial small subunit ribosomal RNA
Source: RNAcentral